UUUGAUCCUGGCUCAGAUUGAACGCUGGCGGCAGGCCUAACACAUGCAAGUCGAGCGGCAGCACGGGAAGCUUGCUUCCUGGUGGCGAGCGGCGGACGGGUGAGUAAUGCAUAGGAAUCUGCCCGGUAGUGGGGGAUAACCUGGGGAAACCCAGGCUAAUACCGCAUACGUCCUACGGGAGAAAGCAGGGGCUCUUCGGACCUUGCGCUAUCGGAUGAGCCUAUGUCGGAUUAGCUGGUUGGUGAGGUAAUGGCUCACCAAGGCGACGAUCCGUAGCUGGUCUGAGAGGAUGAUCAGCCACAUCGGGACUGAGACACGGCCCGAACUCCUACGGGAGGCAGCAGUGGGGAAUAUUGGACAAUGGGCGCAAGCCUGAUCCAGCCAUGCCGCGUGUGUGAAGAGGGCCCUCGGGUUGUAAAGCACUUUCAGUGGGGAAGAAAGCCUGGUGGUUAAUACCCGUCAGGAAGGACAUCACCCACAGAAGAAGCACCGGCUAACUCCGUGCCAGCAGCCGCGGUAAUACGGAGGGUGCGAGCGUUAAUCGGAAUUACUGGGCGUAAAGCGCGCGUAGGUGGCUUGAUAAGCCGGUUGUGAAAGCCCCGGGCUCAACCUGGGAACGGCAUCCGGAACUGUCAGGCUAGAGUGCACGAGAGGAAAGGUAGAAUUCCCGGUGUAGCGGUGAAAUGCGUAGAGAUCGGGAGGAAUACCAGUGGCGAAAGGCGGGCCUUCUGGACUGACACUGACACUGAGGUGCGAAAGCGUGGGUAGCAAACAGGAUUAGAUACCCUGGUAGUCCACGCCCGUAACGAUGUCGACUAGCCCGUUGGGUCCCUUCGCGGGACUUUUGUGGCGCAGUUAACGCGAUAGUCGACCGCCUGGGGGAGUACG
Molecule: ribosomal RNA, 888 nt
Filed under: uncultured Halomonas sp.
Lineage: Bacteria; Pseudomonadati; Pseudomonadota; Gammaproteobacteria; Oceanospirillales; Halomonadaceae
Description: bacterial SSU rRNA
Rfam family: Bacterial small subunit ribosomal RNA
Source: RNAcentral